GUACACAAAAAUGCACAUAUUGUGAGCUCGAUGAGUAGGGCGGGACACGUGGUAUCCUGUCUGAAUAUGGGGGGACCAUCCUCCAAGGCUAAAUACUCCUGACUGACCGAUAGUGAACCAGUACCGUGAGGGAAAGGCGAAAAGAACCCCGGCGAGGGGAGUGAAAAAGAACCUGAAACCGUGUACGUACAAGCAGUGGGAGCCUCUUAAUGGGGUGACUGCGUACCUUUUGUAUAAUGGGUCAGCGACUUAUAUUCUGUAGCAAGGUUAACCGAAUAGGGGAGCCGAAGGGAAACCGAGUCUUAACUGGGCGUUAAGUUGCAGGGUAUAGACCCGAAACCCGGUGAUCUAGCCAUGGGCAGGUUGAAGGUUGGGUAACACUAACUGGAGGACCGAACCGACUAAUGUUGAAAAAUUAGCGGAUGACUUGUGGCUGGGGGUGAAAGGCCAAUCAAACCGGGAGAUAGCUGGUUCUCCCCGAAAGCUAUUUAGGUAGCGCCUCGUGAAUUCAUCUCCGGGGGUAGAGCACUGUUUCGGCAAGGGGGUCAUCCCGACUUACCAACCCGAUGCAAACUGCGAAUACCGGAGAAUGUUAUCACGGGAGACACACGGCGGGUGCUAACGUCCGUCGUGAAGAGGGAAACAACCCAGACCGCCAGCUAAGGUCCCAAAGUCAUGGUUAAGUGGGAAACGAUGUGGGAAGGCCCAGACAGCCAGGAUGUUGGCUUAGAAGCAGCCAUCAUUUAAAGAAAGCGUAAUAGCUCACUGGUCGAGUCGGCCUGCGCGGAAGAUGUAACGGGGCUAAACCAUGCACCGAAGCUGCGGCAGCGACACUAUGUGUUGUUGGGUAGGGGAGCGUUCUGUAAGCCUGUGAAGGUGUGCUGUGAGGCAUGCUGGAGGUAUCAGAAGUGCGAAUGCUGACAUAAGUAACGAUAAAGCGGGUGAAAAGCCCGCUCGCCGGAAGACCAAGGGUUCCUGUCCAACGUUAAUCGGGGCAGGGUGAGUCGACCCCUAAGGCGAGGCCGAAAGGCGUAGUCGAUGGGAAACAGGUUAAUAUUCCUGUACUUGGUGUUACUGCGAAGGGGGGACGGAGAAGGCUAUGUUGGCCGGGCGACGGUUGUCCCGGUUUAAGCGUGUAGGCUGGUUUUCCAGGCAAAUCCGGAAAACCAAGGCUGAGGCGUGAUGACGAGGCACUACGGUGCUGAAGUGACAAAUGCCCUGCUUCCAGGAAAAGCCUCUAAGCAUCAGGUAACAUCAAAUCGUACCCCAAACCGACACAGGUGGUCAGGUAGAGAAUACCAAGGCGCUUGAGAGAACUCGGGUGAAGGAACUAGGCAAAAUGGUGCCGUAACUUCGGGAGAAGGCACGCUGAUAUGUAGGUGAAGCGACUUGCUCGUGGAGCUGAAAUCAGUCGAAGAUACCAGCUGGCUGCAACUGUUUAUUAAAAACACAGCACUGUGCAAACACGAAAGUGGACGUAUACGGUGUGACGCCUGCCCGGUGCCGGAAGGUUAAUUGAUGGGGUUAGCGGUAACGCGAAGCUCUUGAUCGAAGCCCCGGUAAACGGCGGCCGUAACUAUAACGGUCCUAAGGUAGCGAAAUUCCUUGUCGGGUAAGUUCCGACCUGCACGAAUGGCGUAAUGAUGGCCAGGCUGUCUCCACCCGAGACUCAGUGAAAUUGAACUCGCUGUGAAGAUGCAGUGUACCCGCGGCAAGACGGAAAGACCCCGUGAACCUUUACUAUAGCUUGACACUGAACAUUGAGCCUUGAUGUGUAGGAUAGGUGGGAGGCUUUGAAGUGUGGACGCCAGUCUGCAUGGAGCCGACCUUGAAAUACCACCCUU
Molecule: ribosomal RNA, 1844 nt
Filed under: Escherichia coli
Lineage: Bacteria; Pseudomonadati; Pseudomonadota; Gammaproteobacteria; Enterobacterales; Enterobacteriaceae
Description: partial 23S ribosomal RNA
Rfam family: Bacterial large subunit ribosomal RNA
Source: RNAcentral